This 442-nucleotide ribosomal RNA is filed under the name uncultured bacterium. RNAcentral's name for it is "bacterial SSU rRNA". It matches the Rfam family "Bacterial small subunit ribosomal RNA", at positions 100 to 559 of the family's 1533-position model. The record is from RNAcentral.
GACGGGUGAGUAACGCGUGGGUAACCUGCCUCCUUUAGAGGGAUAACAGUUAGAAAUGACUGCUAAUACCGCAUAAGCGCACAGUACCACAUGGUACGGUGUGAAAAACUCCGGUGGUAUGAGAUGGACCCGCGUCUGAUUAGCUAGUUGGUGGGGUAACGGCCCACCGAGGCGACGAUCAGUAGCCGACCUGAGAGGGUGAUCGGCCACAUUGGGACUGAGACACGGCCCAGACUCCUACGGGAGGCAGCAGUGGGGGAUAUUGCACAAUGGAGGAAACUCUGAUGCAGCGACGCCGCGUGAGGGAAGACGGUCUUCGGAUUGUAAACCUCUGUCUUUAGGGUUUAUUUAAUGACGGUACCUAAGGAGGAAGCCACGGCUAACUACGUGCCAGCAGCCGCGGUAAUACGUAGGUGGCAAGCGUUGUCCGGAAUUACUGGGU